RNAcentral lists this long non-coding RNA (269 nucleotides) under Lathyrus oleraceus (garden pea). RNAcentral's name for it is "Pisum sativum (pea) long non-coding RNA (PSAT_LNC011040)". The record is from RNAcentral. Lineage: Eukaryota; Viridiplantae; Streptophyta; Magnoliopsida; Fabales; Fabaceae.
UUUUUUAUUUUUAGUAUUUUUUGAAAGGUUAAUUUUAAGAGUCAUUUUAUCUUUUUGGAUUAACAAUUAUGCAUCAACUAAAAAUAUAAUAAAAUAAACUAAAAAAUAAAGCAAAUAAAAAAUUAAAAAUAAAAGAAAAGAAAUAAUAAAAGGGAGGGGAUAUACUAUCAAUACAAGAGGUAAAAUAAUUAAAAACUAAAGAAAAUAAAUGAAAAAACAAAAAUAAAUAAAGCAAUAAUAAGAAAGCAAUAAAUAAAAAAUAUACAAAA